RNAcentral lists this transfer RNA (87 nucleotides) under Asterophora parasitica. Its description in RNAcentral is "tRNA-Glu". It matches the Rfam family "tRNA". Rfam says of the family: Transfer RNA (tRNA) molecules are approximately 80 nucleotides in length. Their secondary structure includes four short double-helical elements and three loops (D, anti-codon, and T loops). The record is from RNAcentral. Lineage: Eukaryota; Fungi; Basidiomycota; Agaricomycetes; Agaricales; Lyophyllaceae.
UCGGGUAUGGUGUAACGGCUAACAUUGCCGCCUCUCACAGAUGCGAUGAUAUCGCGGCAGCUCGGGGUUCGAUUCCCCGUACCCGAA